GCAUCGGUGGUUUAGUGGUAAAAUUAGCCGUUGCCACGUGAUCAAUCAAUUCGAUUGGUUUACCGCAACUUCGGCUAGCCCCGGGUUCGAUUCCCGGCCGAUGCA
Molecule: transfer RNA, 105 nt
Filed under: Aaosphaeria arxii CBS 175.79
Lineage: Eukaryota; Fungi; Ascomycota; Dothideomycetes; Pleosporales
Rfam family: tRNA
About the family: Transfer RNA (tRNA) molecules are approximately 80 nucleotides in length. Their secondary structure includes four short double-helical elements and three loops (D, anti-codon, and T loops).
Source: Rfam by way of RNAcentral